CUGCCGCGAACAGCUGAUUGUGGGCCGUUUUCUGUUGUUUUGCUAUUAGGAUACAUUGAAGCUAUGUGCAGCUGCCUGUGAAAUUGGUUCAGAAAUGUGUUGCCUAUGGUUUUAAUGAAAAAUCUGUCAAAGGAGCAUCGGUGUCGUUUCACAGUUUUCCUGGAGAUGAAUUGAGGAAGAAGUGGACUCUAUCUGAGGCGGGAAAGUUUUGUGCCAUCCAAGCAUUUCAGAAUUUGUUCUAAACACUUCUCCCAAGAUUGUUUUGACAAGGAAGCUUGUUCCAACUGUUUUUGAAUUUCCGGCACAUUUACAGCCUAAAAGUGCCAAGAGGAAAGCACCUACCGAGAGAAGUCAAAUUAUGUCUCAGCCGCAUGAAAACGCCACCACCUCGCAGCAAUCCACUACCAAGGAUAUUCAUACAGUUGGAAAAAAGUUAAGAUUGGCAUAUCUAGGUGACUUCAAUGAGAAGAACCUGACUUCCCAGCAGAAGUAAGAAGUGCCUUGGUGCUGCAAAGGAAAUAAGAUUAAAAUACCGUAAAAAAACUGAAACUCCUUCGUCAGCGGUGUAAACGAGCCACUGCAAAAAUAGUGAGCCUUCAGGCAGUUAUCUCGCAUCUGCAGGACAAGAAACUGAUGGGUGAUGUUGCUGCAGAUACACUACAUAAAUAUUUGCCACCUGCUGUUGCGGAUCUCAUCCAGCGAUGGAAGAAGGGGCCAACCAGAGAAGCCUAUCCUCCAGAGCAGAAGACGUUUGCUCUGACACUGAAUUUCUACUCGGUAAAUAUGUAGUUCAGCUGUAUUUGCGAAAAAAAAAUGUUAAAAAUCUGAAAAUACUUUUAUUGUAUGCUCUUCAACUUCCUCUUUUCAUUAAAAGCGGCGGAGAUAAGAAAUUCCAAAUACUUUAGGAGAUAUCGCCGUUCUUAUUUUGCUAUACAAGACCUGUGUAAUCAUUCGACCGUCACAGUUUUUUUAUUGCCAUGUGUUUGUGAAUGCCUAAUUAAUGAAAAUGGUCGAUUAGGUCAGGUCAGUUACAUUAUAAAUAGUACUUUGAAAUUAAGCGUACAUAAAAAAUAAUAUGAAUUAAUUUCAAUGGUUUUUUUAGUUUUAAAGUAUUUAUAAUGUAACUGACCUGACCUAACAAACCGGGACAAAGGAUGAACAGAAACAACUCAAGUAAAAAUUUUUUGUUACUUAUUACUUGCGCAACAAUAUCCAAAUAACAAAUAAGACUUUAAAAUUAGAAACGUUAAAAACUCACCCUAAGUUGGAGGCGGUAAUUAAACACUGUUUUAAACAAUAAAUGAACUAAGUAAUAACAUAUUGGUUCAAUUGAAUUCUGGCCUAUCACGAAAAAUCACGUGACAUCAUUAUCCAAUAAAAAAAUAGAUACUCGUAAACAAGAAACAAUGUUGAAUGCCACAUGAAUGCACUGGUAUUGUGAUGAAAUUUAAAAAUUCGAUAUCUCCUAAAGUAUUUGGAAUUUCUUAUCUCCGCCGCUUUUAAUGAAAAGAGGAAGUUGAAGAGCAUAUAAUAAAAAUAUUUUCGGAUUUUUUUACAUUUUUUUCGCAAAUACCGCUCAACUACAUAUUUACCUUCUACUCUCCUAAGGCGUACAAUUAUGUUAGGAAAAUGUUCAUGAAGUGUUUGCCACAUCCUGUUACACUGCAGAAGUGGUAUUCAACUGUUGAUGGAAAGCCAGGCUUCAGUACUGAGGCUUGUACAGCAUUGAAACUGAAGACAGCAGAAAAUGUUACUUGUGGUAAACCUACAUUAUGUUCUUUGAUGUUAGAUGAAAUGGCCAUACGUAAACAUAUAGAAUUUAAUGGUCAGAGUUUCAUUGGAUAUACUGACUUCGGUACAGGGUUGGAUGAUGAUUCCCUACCUGAAGCAAGGGAAGCAUUGGUGUUCAUGGCUGUUGCUCUAAAUGGUAGCUGGAAGAUCCCAGUAGGGUAUUUCUUGAUUGCUGGUCUGCUUGUAUAAUAGUCUACCUCAGCAUGUUAAAAAUAUCAAUAAUAAAAAAUAAUUUGCAAUAGAGUUUAAAAAAAUAGCAGAAGAACUGUUUUUAAAUUCCUUCAAAGAUAUUGAAGACUUUAUAAAAAUAAAAAAUAAUAGUAAAUAUUUUAUAGGGUAAUUUCAAACCCACUUGUAAUUUAUGCUAUUACUAUCUUUAUUGCAUACUAAUUAUGUGUUUAAUGUUCUGUUUCACUUUUAAUUAUACUUUCAGUAGUUUCAUAUGCUGUAAUUAAUAACUUAUAAGUAAAAUGUAAUUGUAUUUUUUUUUGUGAAAUUGUAUAUUUUAUGUUUUUGUUUUUUGUGAUAUUGUAUAUUUUGUGUUUUGUUUUUGUGAAACUUUAUAUAUAUAUAUAUAUAUAUAUAUAUUAUUUUCUAUAUGUACUGGACAUUUAUCAUACCCCAGAAAUGGGGUCAAAGGAUAUGAAAUAAAAAAUAAAAAUAUAAAAUAAAAUGGUAUGACAAUGGCAAGACAAUGCUUGAAGAUUCUUUUUGAUUGUGGCAUAAUUGUAGCAUCAAUGACAUUUGAUGGUGCUGCAUCAAACUUAUCUAUGGCUGAACAUUUUGGAGCCAAGUUUUCAGUACCUGAUAUGAAAACUUGGAUCACAGAUUCUCAUACAGGUAAGCCUAUAAACUUGUCAGGAACUGUUUGGCCAGCAAGGGUAGUUUAGUGGAUGAGAAUGGAAUUAUUCUGUGGAGGUUUAUUGAGGACUUAGAAAAACUUUCAAAGGUCUCAAGGUUUACAUGCGGCAACAAAAUUGGGAAAACGCCACAUAAAUUGGUCUAGCGAAAAGAUGAAAGUGAAGUUAGCUGCACAAACAUUCAGCCAGUGUUGCUGAUGCUUUAAAAUUUUGUAGCCAAGAUUUACAGUUGGUUGAAUUUGAAGGAUCUGAGUCUACCUUCAGAUUUAUAGAAGUUUUCAAUAAUUUAUUAUAUAUUUUGAACAGUCGAAACUUGCUAGCAAAGUGUUACAAAGCACCUCUAUCUGAACAAAACAUUGACAAAGUGAAGGAAUUCUUGGUGUCGCAAAGAAUUAUAUAUUGACAUUAUGUGAAUCAUCAGGUGGGAAACCAAUGCAUUUGAGCAACAGAAAGACAGGUUUCAUUGGAUUCCUUGUAUGUAUUGAAAGUUUAUUGCGUUUGUAUGAUUAUGUGGUAAAAAUAAAACUUGAUGAAAUUUCUGUUGACAUACAAAGUAAGCCAGGACCAUCUGGAGUUAUUUUUCAGUGCAGUAAGGGGUCAUGGGGGCCAUAACAACAAUACCACUGCGAAACAGUUUCAAGCGCCUGCUAGUACACAUACAAAUAGGCACCACCACAUCUUCCAACUGCCAAGCUAUUGAUUUUACCACUAUUUUGAAUGCAAGCAGUGGGAAAAGGAAUAUUAGUGAUCCCUUCCUCAACAUAAACUGUAGUGUUCCUGUUGCUGUGGAAAGUGUUGAACAUGACCACAGCUACAAUACACUAGCGAGUUCUACCAGACUGAGUGAAUAUGUAGAUGAUGUAGUGGGGUACAUUGCUGGCUUUGUUGUCAGGAAGUUGAGAUUAAUUUUGACAAUUUUUUUUAUAUGCAGUUAAUCGGUAACUUUUUAAUGCUUGCAGUAAAAGGAUAUACGAUAUAAUGUAUUGGUUAAUUGAAGUUUUCUGCGUAAAAGAUUACCGAUAAAGAGUAUCAAGUGUUUUUGUAAGAUUUAGAAGUAUUUUCUGGAUGCGUGUUUACAAAAACUGUGUUUUCAACGGUUUUAUAUUGUUUUUUUUUAUUAGCAAUGGGUGUUUGCAUGUGAAGUUUAAAUAGUUCAAAAAUCUGUGUUAGACGUAUUCAGCACACCUAUAGCACGCACACCUAUAGCACGCACGCCUCAGCAAGACGGGAGGAAGACCUAAUUGAUAAUUGAUAUUUAUUGUCAUUAGACACAGGGUGCAAAAUACAUAAUAAUAAUAAUAAUAAUAAUAAUAAUAAUAUAUACACAUUUUUAAGUUUAAAGAAAAACAUCUUAACAAUAAUAUAACUUUACACAAACUUAAGGUCAUUAAAAUUUAAAUUGUUCCAUUCGUCUAGUGAGUAUAAAGGAUUGUAUAUGAGCUAUUGUUCUAAGAUUUGUUUAUACUUAUCAAAAGAUACUGUUCUUCAUACAAGGGUAAUCUAUUAAAAAACUUACACUUACAUUUUUAAAACUCAUAUAUGAUUUACAUAUUUGUUUAUAACUGACAUCAAUUAAAUAUCUAUUUCUGGUAAGAAGGAAACAUAACGAACAGGAUGAGGUGUUAAAUGCAAGAAAAAGAGCUGCACAUGAAAUCAAAUUACUCGAAAUGAAAAAGGAAAAAAUUGCUUGAGAAGAAAAAAGGAGAAUUAUUAGAAA
This is a long non-coding RNA of Bacillus rossius redtenbacheri, 4368 nucleotides long. RefSeq lists it as uncharacterized. The record is from RefSeq and is a predicted model, not a curated record. NCBI's taxonomy places the organism in Eukaryota, Metazoa, Arthropoda, Insecta, Phasmatodea, Bacillidae. The transcript is spliced from 4 exons.